RNAcentral lists this ribosomal RNA (415 nucleotides) under uncultured bacterium. RNAcentral's name for it is "bacterial SSU rRNA". It matches the Rfam family "Bacterial small subunit ribosomal RNA", at positions 358 to 773 of the family's 1533-position model. The record is from RNAcentral.
GGAAUCUUGCGCAAUGGCCUAACGGCUGACGCAGCGACGCCGCGUGCGGGAGGACGCCCCUCGGGGUGUAAACCGCUGUUGCCCGGGACGAACCUCCUCUUUCGAGGGGACUGACGGUACCGGGUGAGGAAGCACCGGCUAACUCCGUGCCAGCAGCCGCGGUCAUACGGAGGGUGCGAGCGUUGUCCGGAAUCACUGGGCGUAAAGGGCGCGUAGGCGGCUUCCUAAGGGGGCGGUGAAAGCCCGGGGCUCAACCCCGGGUCGGCCGUGCCGACUGGGAGGCUGGAGCACUGUAGAGGCGGGUGGAAUUCCGGGUGUAGCGGUGGAAUGCGUAGAGAUCCGGAAGAACACCGGUGGCGAAGGCGGCCCGCUGGGCAGUGGCUGACGCUGAGGCGCGACAGCGUGGGGAGCAAAC